This 442-nucleotide ribosomal RNA is filed under the name Nephila constricta. Its description in RNAcentral is "partial 16S ribosomal RNA". It matches the Rfam family "Bacterial large subunit ribosomal RNA", at positions 1845 to 2605 of the family's 2925-position model. The record is from RNAcentral. Lineage: Eukaryota; Metazoa; Arthropoda; Arachnida; Araneae; Nephilidae.
AUAAUUAGUAACACCUGCUCCAUGUAAUUAUAAAUAGCCGCAGAAUUUUUACUGUGCUAAGGUAGCAUAAUCAUUAGCCUUUUAAUUAAAGGCCUGUAUGAAAGGUGAAACGAUUUAAUUUCUUUAUUAAUUAAUAAUUAUUAAAAUUUUACUAAGAAUAAAAAUAUUCUUAUUAAAUAAUUAGACGACAAGACCCUAUUGAACUUCACUGUAGUUUAGCUGGGGCAGCUAAUUAAUAUUGAUUUUAAUUUUGUAUUUUUACAUAAACGACCCAAUCCUCAUUGAUUACUUGAAUUAAGUUACCAUAGGGAUAACAGCGUAAUUUUUUCCUAAAGUUCAUAUUAAAAAAAAAGAUUGCGACCUCGAUGUUGAAUUAUCGUUACAUAUUUAGCGCAAAAGCUAAUAAUGUAGGUCUGUUCGACCUUUAAAACUUUACGUGAUC